RNAcentral lists this ribosomal RNA (82 nucleotides) under Mordavella massiliensis. RNAcentral's name for it is "partial 23S ribosomal RNA". It matches the Rfam family "Bacterial large subunit ribosomal RNA", at positions 2844 to 2925 of the family's 2925-position model. The record is from RNAcentral. Lineage: Bacteria; Bacillati; Bacillota; Clostridia; Eubacteriales; Clostridiaceae.
ACGACGAGGUAGAUAGGGCAGAGGUGGAAGUACAGUAAUGUAUGGAGCUGACUGCUACUAAUCGGUCGAGGGCAUGACCAAA